UAUCUCUGUAGAGUCUGCAUAUCAAUAAGCGGAGGAAAAGAAACUAACAAGGAUUCCCCUCAGUAACGGCGAGUGAAGCGGGAAGAGCUCAAAUUUGAAAUCUUCAAGGGUUCUACCUUGACGAAUUGUAGUUUAAAGAAGUGUUUUCUGUUGGAGUUUUGGUAAAAGUUCUUUGGAAUAGGACAUCAUAGAGGGUGAGAAUCCCGUAUUUGACCAUUACUUUCCAACUUUGUGAUACACUUUCAAAGAGUCGGAUUGUUUGGGAAUGCAGUCCAAAAUGGGUGGUAAAUUUCAUCUAAAGCUAAAUACUGGCGAGAGACCGAUAGCGAACAAGUACCGUGAGGGAAAGAUGAAAAGAACUUUGAAAAGAGAGUUAAACAGUACGUGAAAUUGUCAAAAGGGAAGCGUUUGACACCAGUGUUGUUUUCUCGAAAAUCAAUUAAAAAAGGCAGGAUUUUGUGUUGUAUUGACUUUAUCAGCUUUCUGCACUCUUUUCUUGUCUUUUUUAAUGCACUUUUCGUUUAACAAGUCAACAUCAAUUUCUUUUGUUGUAAAAGGAGUCAUUGGAAGGUGGCUUUCCUUUCGGAUGAAAGUGUUUAUAGCCUUUGGCUUCUGCAAUCGGAGAAAUUGAGGUCUGCAGCGUAGAUCCUUCGGGGUUAGAUACAUUUGUGCUAAGUUAUAGCCUUUCAUAGACAACUUGUUGACUAUGAUCAGUCAUGUAGCUUACUCGCUUAUGCUAUUUUACCUACGCUUAGGAUGUUGACGAUCAGCUGAGCGCG
RNAcentral lists this ribosomal RNA (779 nucleotides) under uncultured Neocallimastigales. Its description in RNAcentral is "partial large subunit ribosomal RNA". It matches the Rfam family "Eukaryotic large subunit ribosomal RNA", at positions 24 to 627 of the family's 3401-position model. The record is from RNAcentral. Lineage: Eukaryota; Fungi; Neocallimastigomycota; Neocallimastigomycetes; Neocallimastigales.